UACAUUAGCAUGGGAUAAUGGAAUAGGACCCUGUCCUCCUAUUUUCAGUUGGUUUGCCGCGAGGACCAGGGUAAUGAUUAAUAGGGAUAGUUGGGGGCAUUAAUAUUUAAUUGUCAGAGGUGAAAUUCUUGGAUUUAUGAAAGAUUAACUUCUGCGAAAGCAUCUGCCAAGGAUGUUUUCAUUAAUCAAGAACGAAAGUUAGGGGAUCGAAGACGAUCAGAUACCGUCGUAGUCUUAACCAUAAACGAUGCCGACCAGCGAUUAGGAGACGUUGAAUACAAAACACCACCAUGCGCAUUGCGGUCGUCUUUGGUGUCGCUCACAAGGCGGCACCGGGGCGGCUUAGCUCGCAUGGCACCGGUGAAUGACUCCCUAGCG
Molecule: ribosomal RNA, 378 nt
Filed under: Acanthamoeba genotype T3
Lineage: Eukaryota; Discosea; Longamoebia; Acanthamoebidae
Description: SSU rRNA
Rfam family: Eukaryotic small subunit ribosomal RNA (bases 1-318)
Source: RNAcentral